Molecule: long non-coding RNA, 1236 nt
Organism: Eriocheir sinensis (Chinese mitten crab)
Lineage: Eukaryota; Metazoa; Arthropoda; Malacostraca; Decapoda; Varunidae
Exons: 3
Source: RefSeq, a predicted model, not a curated record
AAGGAAAAGGAAAAAUCAAUUCUAAAAGUCCAGUUUCAAUUCCUUUUAUUGCAUAAAUGAUAUUUUUUUCCAUCCGUGAAGGUCACACACACUUAACAGCACGAAGCAGCAAACAGGUCCAGCGCGGACACUGUUUCCUUUGUGUGUAGAGAAACACUGGUUUAAUGAAGCCUUGGAUGACGGACAAUUAAUGUUCUCGUUCAAAAUUAAGUGUUAGAAGAAAAGGGAAAUUCACAGCAAAAGAACACUAAGUAAUUUGAGUAAAAGAGGGUAAACUUUAAUUUUCUGCCCUUUCCCAGUGUCUAAUGUAGUUAUACACGAUUUUUCUUAAUGCACGGUCUAAUUUGAAACCUGACCUCCGUGUAUAAGGAGGGAUUACUGUACUGUACAAAACAUCAUGCUCAAUAGUACAAGAAACUGACCAACACAUUAUACUGAACUUGAGGUUACAGGAAAUAAAAAACAACAACAAUACAUUAAGAAAACAACCACAAUCUCCUCUAUAAUGUUGUGGUGGUGGUGGUGGUGGUGGUGCAGGCCAGUACCCUCAACACCACACAGUCCACCACAAUCUCCUCUAUAAUGUUGUGGUGGUGGUGGUGGUGGUGGUGCAGGCCAGUACCCUCAACACCACAAAGUCCACCACAAUCUCCUCUAUAAUGUUGUGGUGGUGGUGGUGGCCAGUACCCUCAACACCACACAGUCCACCACAAUCUCCUCUAUAAUGUUGUGGUGGUGGUGGUGGUGGUGGUGCAGGCCAGUACCCUCAACACCACACAGUCCACCACAAUCUCCUCUAUAAUGUUGUGGUGGUGGUGGUGGUGGUGGUGCAGGCCAGUACCCUCAACACCACACACAGUCCACCACAAUUUCCUCUAUAAUGUUGUGGUGGUGGUGGUGGUGGUGCAGGCCAGUACCCUCAACACCACACAGUCCACCACAAUUUCCUCUAUAAUGUUGUGGUGGUGGUGCAGGCCAGUACCCUCAACACCACACAGUCCACCACAAUUUCCUCUAUAAUGUUGUGGUGGUGGUGGUGGUGGUGGUGCAGGCCAGUACCCUCAACACCACACAGUCCACCACAAUCUCCUCUAUAAUGUUGUGGUGGUGGUGGUGGCCAGUACCCUCAACACCACACAGUCCACCACAAUCUCCUCUAUAAUGUUGUGGUGGUGGUGGUGGUGGUGGUGCAGGCCAGUACCCUCAACACCACACAGUCCACCACAAUCUCCUCUA